GUGGGGAAUAUUGCGCAAUGGGGGAAACCCUGACGCAGCAACGCCGCGUGAUUGAAGAAGGCCUUCGGGUUGUAAAGAUCUUUAAUUGGGGACGAAAUAAAUGACGGUACCCAAAGAAUAAGCUCCGGCUAACUACGUGCCAGCAGCCGCGGUAAUACGUAGGGAGCAAGCGUUAUCCGGAUUUACUGGGUGUAAAGGGCGAGUAGGCGGCCGGACAAGUUGGGAGUGAAAUCCGGGGGCUUAACCGCCGAACUGCUUUCAAAACUGUUGGUCUUGAGUGAUGGAGAGGCAGGCGGAAUUCCCAGUGUAGCGGUGAAAUGCGUAGAUAUUGGGAGGAACACCAGUGGCGAAGGCGGCCUGCUGGACAUUAACUGACGCUGAGGCGCGAAAGCGUGGGGAGCAAACAGGAUUAGAAACCCGAGUAGUCC
Molecule: ribosomal RNA, 428 nt
Filed under: uncultured bacterium
Lineage: Bacteria
Description: partial 16S ribosomal RNA
Rfam family: Bacterial small subunit ribosomal RNA
Source: RNAcentral